RNAcentral lists this ribosomal RNA (1105 nucleotides) under uncultured eukaryote. Its description in RNAcentral is "bacterial SSU rRNA". It matches the Rfam family "Eukaryotic small subunit ribosomal RNA", at positions 29 to 1160 of the family's 1831-position model. The record is from RNAcentral.
CGGAAUUGGUGGAGAUAAGCCUGCAGUGCCUGUAUGAGUGUUGAUACCCCGAAACUGCGAAUGGCUCGGUAAAACAGCAAUAAUUUAGUCGGGGAUAUACUACCGGAUAACCGUAGUAAAGCUAGAGCUAAUACGUUACUAGUACAUCAAACACGAUUGCCUUGUGUAGUCGUGGUGCUAAGUAUUAGGUACAACCCAGUUUUUAACUGGUGAUUCAUACUUAUCGUCUGAUCACACCUCGUGUGUGUGUGACGCCCCGAUUAAAUUUCUGACCUAUCAACUAUGAUGGUAAGGUAGGGUCUUACCAUGGUUGUGACGGGUAACGGACCGUGGGUGCGGGAUUCCGGAGAGGGAGCCUGAGAAACGGCUACCACAUCCAAGGAAGGCAGCAGGCGCGCAACUUACCCAAUCCGAACUUCGGGAGGUAGUGACAAUAAAUAUCAAUAGGGGGACCAAUGGUCUUCCUAAUUGGAAUGAAAGCAAUGUAAACACCUCAUUGAGGAACCAGCAGAGGGCAAGUCUGGUGCCAGCAGCCGCGGUAAUUCCAGCUCUGUAAGCGUAUACCAAAGUUGUUGCAGUUAAAACGCUCGUAGUCGAAUUUUGACGUUAUGCUACUUUAGACCCCUGAUGGGUGUUUGGAGUUUAUGCUGCGUCUUUGUGGAUUUUGAGAUGCUUGGUGAUGCUUAGUUGUAUUGCUGCAUUUUUGCCACUGUUUACUGUGAAAAAAUUAGAGUGCUUAAAGCGAGCGAUUUGCCAUGAAUAGAUUAGCAUGGAAUAAUAGAAUAGGACCUGGUUUCUGUUUCUAUUGUUUUGUCAGUUUCAGGUAAUGAUUAAGAGGGACGGUCGGGGGCAUUUGUAUUCCAGGGUUAGAGGUGAAAUUCUUAGAUCCUUGAAGACACACAGCUGCGAAAGCGUCUGCCAAGGACGUUUUCAUUGAUCAGAACGAAAGUAGGGGAUCGAAGACGAUCAGAUACCGUCGUAUUCUCUAUAUAACUUAUGAGUACUAGAAAUGAACGUGCCUAUUUUGGUACGUUCAGCGCCUCGAGGAACCAAGUUUGGCUUCUGGGGGAUAUGGUUCGCAGUUGACCUUAUGGAAUUGCACGGA